Molecule: ribosomal RNA, 439 nt
Filed under: uncultured bacterium
Lineage: Bacteria
Description: partial 16S ribosomal RNA
Rfam family: Bacterial small subunit ribosomal RNA
Source: RNAcentral
CUACGGGACGCUGCAGUGAGGAAUAUUGCACAAUGGGGGGAACCCUGAUGCAGCAACGCCGCGUGGAGGAUGACGCAUUUCGGUGUGUAAACUCCUUUUAUAUGUCAAGAAAAUGACGGUAGCAUAUGAAUAAGCACCGGCUAACUCCGUGCCAGCAGCCGCGGUAAUACGGAGGGUGCAAGCGUUACUCGGAAUCACUGGGCGUAAAGGACGCGUAGGCGGGUUGGAAAGUCAGGUGUGAAAUCCCACAGCUUAACUGUAGAACUGCACUUGAAACUUCUAAUCUAGAGUAUGGGAGGGGGAGAUGGAAUUAGUGGUGUAGGGGUAAAAUCCGUAGACAUCACUAGGAAUACCUAAAGCGAAGGCGAUCUCCUGGAACAUUACUGACGCUAAGGCGUGAAAGCGUGGGGAGCAAACAGGAUUAGAUACCCCAGUAGUC